AGUGAACGCUGGCGGUAGGCCUAACACAUGCAAGUCGAACGGCAGCACAGUAAGAGCUUGCUCUUACGGGUGGCGAGUGGCGGACGGGUGAGGAAUACAUCGGAAUCUACUUUUUCGUGGGGGAUAACGUAGGGAAACUUACGCUAAUACCGCAUACGACCUACGGGUGAAAGCAGGGGAUCUUCGGACCUUGCGCGAUUGAAUGAGCCGAUGUCGGAUUAGCUAGUUGGCGGGGUAAAGGCCCACCAAGGCGACGAUCCGUAGCUGGUCUGAGAGGAUGAUCGCCACACUGGAACUGAGACACGGUCCAGACUCCUACGGGAGGCAGCAGUGGGGAAUAUUGGACAAUGGGCGCAAGCCUGAUCCAGCCAUACCGCGUGGGUGAAGAAGGCCUUCGGGUUGUAAAGCCCUUUUGUUGGGAAAGAAAAGCAGCAGGUUAAUACCCCGCUGUUCUGACGGUACCCAAAGAAUAAGCACCGGCUAACUUCGU
Molecule: ribosomal RNA, 490 nt
Filed under: uncultured bacterium
Lineage: Bacteria
Description: partial 16S ribosomal RNA
Rfam family: Bacterial small subunit ribosomal RNA
Source: RNAcentral